RNAcentral lists this non-coding RNA (26 nucleotides) under Mus musculus (house mouse). The record is from RNAcentral. Lineage: Eukaryota; Metazoa; Chordata; Mammalia; Rodentia; Muridae.
UGCUUGCGAUAGGCUGUGCUCUAGAA